This 510-nucleotide ribosomal RNA is filed under the name Amphioctopus aegina. RNAcentral's name for it is "partial large subunit ribosomal RNA". It matches the Rfam family "Bacterial large subunit ribosomal RNA", at positions 1851 to 2621 of the family's 2925-position model. The record is from RNAcentral. Lineage: Eukaryota; Metazoa; Mollusca; Cephalopoda; Octopoda; Octopodidae.
AGUUGGGCCUGCUCGGUGAUUAAUAUUUAACAGCUGCGGUAUUAUAACUGUACUAAGGUAGCAUAAUAAUUUGCCUUAUAAAUUGAGGCUAGAAUGAAUGGUUUGACGAAAAUUAUACUGUCUCUAUUUUAUUCAUUAGAAGUUAAUUUUUAUAGUGAGAAAGCUUGAAUAAUUUAAAGGGACGAAAAGACCCUAUUGAGCUUUAUAUUAUAUUUUAAAUUUGAUUUUUUAUUUAUUUAAUUAUAUAUAAUUUUGGUUGGGGUGAUCAAGGAAUAAAAUGUAUUUUAUGUUAACUUCCUUAAAUGGUGAUAUUUAUAAAUGAAUAAACCAAAUUUUUUGCUUAGAAGAUAAGUACCAUAGGGAUAACAGCGUAAUUUUUUUUGAAAGUUCAUAUUGAAAAAAGAGAUUGCGACCUCGAUGUUGGAUUAAAAUAACCUUAAGGUGAAGAGGCUUUAAUUGGUAAAUCUGUUCGAUUUUUAAAAUUUUACGUGAUCUGAUUCCAGACCGGAG